AUGAUUGAUUUUCUUAAAUGACGUCUCAAGCAACGUUGUUUUAUUCUGCCAUCUGACUAUAGAAAGUUAAACUCUUGUAACAAAUAUUGAAGUUUAUUAUUAUAUGCCUAUAUGGCAAUUGUGUACUGUAUCUUUGCACAUGAUCAAAGUAAUGAUUUACGAAUUUAAUUUACGAAUCGUACACCGAUUAAAUUUGGGAUGAUUAUCGAUGCUUUUAUUGUGUGACGCGCAUGAGAUGACAAAAAAUUUGCAAGCAUAAUAGGCAGGUCUGUUAUCCUCAAUAAUUUGUCUGCCUUUUCGGCACGUUUUACGUGUUCUUUCUCGUAUUUUCUUUUAUUGCGAAAUGUAACUUUGUGCAAUUGUACCUUAAGAGCCUGCGAAGACAUUUAAAUGUUUCAGAAAACUUUAAUUUCUGUUUGAGAAGUUGUACUGAUGAAACAAUAAUGAAAAUGUUUCUUAAUCCAAAGCAAUUGGAUAAUCAAAUCAUUAAUUUGAUACAGCUGAGAGAGAUACAGGAAUCUGCUGCACACGUUGUAUCUCAAAAGUUACAUGUCACAGAGAAUCUAGUGGCUAGAUUAGGCUUGGAGAAGGAAUUAAGUGGACAUGGAGGCUGUGUUAAUUGUUUAGAAUGGAACGAGACUGGAGAAAUCUUGGCUUCUGCAUCCGAUGAUGUACAUGUGAUAUUAUGGGAUGCUUUUCGGUAUCAGAAAAAAUUGGUUUUACAUGCUGGUCACAAUGGAAACAUUUUUUCUGUAAAGUUUAUGCCAAAAUCGAAUGACAGUAUCCUGGUGUCAGGUGCAGCGGACUGUAGGAUCCGGGUACACGAUCUAGUACGGUCUGAUACUAUUCUGGCAUGUAAUUGUCACACUGGCCGUGUUAAACGUAUAGCAACAGCACCCAGCGUACCGUUUCUCUUCUGGAGUGCAGCUGAGGACGGGUUGAUAUUGCAAUACGACAUUCGGGUGCCGCACAAUUGCAAUGCUAAUGAUCGCAAAUCCGUCCUUGUUAAUCUUUCAAAUCAUUUGGGUCGCUAUGCAGAGGCAAAAUGCAUCUCAAUAAAUCCAAGACGACCUGAGUUAAUAGCUGUUGGGGCAAACGAUGCAUACAUAAGAAUGUACGACAGAAGAAUGAUAAAACUUGCAUCGCUGCAGGUCCCAGCAAGUGCUUCACCACGUACCAAUUGGGACGGAGUAAACGUCAAUGGCCAACGUGCUGGCGAAGGCGAUCCAGAAAACAAUAUCCCACUGGAAUCUGCACAGUACUUUAUUGCUGGUCAUCUACAUAAUCAUAAUCGUGAUCACAACAGAACUCUGACUGCUACGUACUUGACAUUUAGUGCUGAUGGAAAUGAAUUACUCGUUAAUAUGGGUGGUGAACAAAUUUACUUGUUCGAUAUCAAUAACCAACACAAUUCAAGACUAUUUGCUCCUCCGCAGAACGUCAAAUUUUCAGAUACUUGUUGGACAGAUACAUUGAAGGACUGUGUAAACUCAAACAAUAAAACAACAGAAGAUUAUUCAUUGAGAAAUACAAAAGUUUUACCACCCCAUGUCGAAGCUAUCAAGUUACAAGCUAACGAGGGAUUCGAACAACAAAAAUACACAUUGGCAAUUAAUUUAUACAACAAAGCCAUCAGCCAUUGCUCCACUGCAGCUAUGCUUUAUGCUAACAGGGCAGCGGCACUUAUGAAAAGAGCAUGGGAUAGUGAUGUAUACGCUGCGUUCCGUGACUGUCGUAUGACAUUACUCUUAGAUCCGGAGCACGUCAAGGCACAUUUCAGACUUGCACGCUGUCUAAUUGAUUUAAACCGUCCAGCAGAGGCGUGCAAAGCAAUUGAAAGUUUUCAAGAAAAGUUUCCAGAAUAUAUAACAAAUUCAGCAUUCCGUGCUUUGAAGAAAGACAUCAAGGAAGCUAUGAACACUGGAGAAGAAUCAACAAGGACCAAUCAUCCAUCAUUACAAAUGAUUUCAACGCACGAACAAGAAUGGCGUCGCAAUACAAUUGAUUACAAAUUGAGAUUCUGCGGUCACUGCAAUACAACAACCGACAUAAAAGAGGCCAAUUUUUUUGGAAACUAUGGACAAUACAUAGUGGCUGGUUCAGACGAUGGUUCAUUCUUCAUAUGGGAUCGUAAAACAACAAACAUUGUUCGCGUAUUGCAAGGUGACGGAAGUAUAGUAAAUUGUCUUCAACCACAUCCUUCGACAUGCCUUCUAGCAACUAGUGGUAUCGACACAGUCAUCAGAUUAUGGAGUCCGUUGCCAGAGGAUGGAAGUGUCAAUGAGCGAGAAAUUCUAAAUCUAGACGAUGCCGCAUCUGCCAAUCAAAUCCGUAUGAAUAGCGACCCGUUCGAGUUGAUGCUGAUGAAUUUGGGCUACCGAUUUCCAGGACAACACGCUGCCGGCGACGAGGACAGCGACGAGUCUCAGGAACCACGUGUUGCUCAAGCAUUAAAUUGUAGACCAAGUUAAAGAUUCGUUCAUUCUCGAUUCAAGGUUUUUGGGAAUCCCGUGGGUUUAUAAGACUUUUGAAACUAUGGUAAACGCAUAAAUCUAAAGCGUUAUUCAAUUUAAUUCCUUUUCUUACUUGCUUAACAUUGUCCUCUUCCUAUAUUUAUCGCCUUUUGCCGAUAACAUUUAAAUACGUUCCAUAUAUUUUAAAAGGUUGUACGAUGUUAGAGAGAAUCUUCAAGUCACGCAAUAUUUCACUUCAAUAACGUAAAGAAACCUCACGAUUAUUUAAUUUAAUACUGUGCAUAGAAAGCGCAUGUAUCCAUUUAAUAUUAUUCUAGCCUUAUGUAAAAGUCUAUAUAUCAAUAACUCACGCUUUUAACUAGCUGGUAGUAACUCCCAAAGUGUUUGCAGAGUGCUGCCUUCUUUUGGUUCCUCAACAGCGAGACCCAAAUAGUUUGAGAAUUUUGGUUCUCUUUGUUGCUGUCCACCAUCUGAGAAAUACAAGCCGAACACUGCAUAGCUCAACAGUCAUUAAAUAAUUACGUGGAAAUUCUCACCUGAUGCUCAAAGGUGUACUCUACUCCAAAAAUUGGAGAUCUCUUAUAAGUGGCAAGAAGCGCUGUUAUUUCCUUGUGCAAAAAGUUAAGUUUCUCAAUGGAAUCCAUACGAAAUCCCAAAACGUAGCCGCCGUUGGCUUCAUUGCUGGUGACGACAAGCACAGUACCGAAUUUCGAAGUUCUUAUAUUGGUCUGGCAGAAGCAGCGAAAAAAAAAAAUACAAAAUCAAAAUGAUAAGUAAAAUAAGAAACGAAUUUUCUGCCAAUUUUACUUUUGUUCUAAUUAUCAUAAUUAUCAUCAUGUUAAUUGAAAUGAUUUAAGUAUUAUAUGCAAUAUGUUUGACUUACGCUGGCGACGGUAAUGUAAGGCACGGACACAUUGAAUUGAUGAUUCAUAUCCGCGAACCAUACAAGUCUUAUAUUUGUUACUAUAAAGGUACCGACGUUUCCCUGAAAACAAAAAAAAAACAAUAUUGUUUCUAUGAGAAGGAUGUGUUAUGAGUAAGAUUAUCAUGUCUGUUAUCAUCGUGUACAUCACGUGCAUCGAACUGAUAUAAGAUGCAAUAAAAAGUCUUAUUUAUUAUCCUGUUAUCACUUGAAUAUUUUGCGCUUUAUACGCCAUAGAACAGUGCAGGUGAAUUAAAAAGUUUGACAGAGGCAA
This is an RNA transcript of Cephus cinctus (wheat stem sawfly), 3670 nucleotides long. It is a transcript of the gene named WD and tetratricopeptide repeats protein 1, with no coding region annotated. The transcript has 15 exons. The record is from RefSeq and is a predicted model, not a curated record. NCBI's taxonomy places the organism in Eukaryota, Metazoa, Arthropoda, Insecta, Hymenoptera, Cephidae.